This 711-nucleotide ribosomal RNA is filed under the name uncultured bacterium. RNAcentral describes it as "bacterial SSU rRNA". It matches the Rfam family "Bacterial small subunit ribosomal RNA", at positions 8 to 714 of the family's 1533-position model. The record is from RNAcentral.
AGAGUUUGAUCCUGGCUCAGGAUGAACGCUAGCGGCAGGCUUAACACAUGCAAGUCGAGGGGCAGCACGGGUAGCAAUACUUGGUGGCGACCGGCGCAAGGGUGCGUAACGCGUGAGCAACAUGCCCGUAUCAGGGGGAUAAUCCACGGAAACGUGGUCUAAUACCCCAUAGUAAGUUUUUGGGGCAUCUCAAAGAUUUUAAAGCUUUGGUGGAUACGGAUUGGCUCGCGUGACAUUAGCUAGAUGGUAAGGUAACGGCUUACCAUGGCUACGAUGUCUAGGGGUUCUGAGAGGAAGGUCCCCCACACUGGAACUGAGACACGGUCCAGACUCCUACGGGAGGCAGCAGUGAGGAAUAUUGGACAAUGGAUGGAAAUCUGAUCCAGCCAUGCCGCGUGCAGGAAGACGGCCCUAUGGGUUGUAAACUGCUUUUGUAUGGGAGCAAUAAGGGCUACGUGUAGUCCGAUGAGAGUACCAUACGAAUAAGCACCGGCUAACUCCGUGCCAGCAGCCGCGGUAAUACGGAGGGUGCAAGCGUUAUCCGGAUUUAUUGGGUUUAAAGGGUGCGUAGGCGGUUUGAUAAGUCAGCGGUGAAAUAUUUCAGCUUAACUGGAAGGGUGCCGUUGAUACUGUCGAGCUUGAAUUUAGUUGCUGUGGGUGGAAUGUGUGGUGUAGCGGUGAAAUGCAUAGAUAUCACACAGAAUAUCGAUU